CUCACUCUCCACUCCCUCACACUCUCCCCCUGCCCUCCACCACGAGCUGCUGCUCCUCCUAGCAACCAUGGCCGGCCAUGGCCAUGAAUAUCCACCAAGAUGAAGCUCCCCUCCUCCCUCAAGCUCCUCCUCACCAUGAGAGCCUCCCUCUCCAUCUUCUCCCCAACCCUAGAUGGUUUAAUCUCCUCUUCUUCUUCCUCCAUUGCUAAGAUUGGAUCUUGAUGCAGGUGCAUGUUGGUCCAAGCAUGGAGAAGCUUGAGCAAUCCUCAGAUCUGAAGUUCUUGAGCAAAAUGCAAAUCGAGUGAUUCAAAGUUCCGCGGAUAGGUAUUCAAAGGAUCUACAACUUGGCGUUGGUCUCAUCCUCAAAUUCGUUACAGAUUCUCCCUGAUCAAGAUCUGGACAGAUCUAGCUUUGUCGAAUUAAACCAGGAGCUUGGGAACGAAUUUUUGAAUGAAACAAAUUGGGGGAUAUUUGGUUUAUACCAUGGUGAUAACCGAGAGAGGCAAUUGCUAAGCAUGGUACUCUCAUACCUUUAUUAGAUGCGAACAAUUACGGAGAAGAAGAAGAAGUGGAUUGGACAAGGUUUUUAUUUAUAUUGUUGGAAUUCUUUUGAUGGAGUUGAAGAAGUCCAGGGAAAAAAAAAGCCAACCAAGGCAAGCCAUCUCUUGAUCUCUAAAUGUUGAAUCACAUACUGUGGUUACUUUGUUGUUAUUAUUGUCUCUCAAUUUAUCUUGUGUUGUUUCUACUUUUGUUGUUGGAGCAUGCUCACCGUGAGCAUGUUUAGUCUCUUUGGCACCUCACCGACAACCCCCUUUAGUGACAUGGUGGUUGUCAUCAUCAUGAUCUCGGUGUACCCUCUAAGUGUGAUGGGUAUGCCCACUUACCUUGAGUGUGUCGACCUCUCGACACCCUUUUUGCACCCCUUCGUGGUAUGAUAGUUAGUAUCGUGCCCUUGUUAUAUCUUCUACUUUGAGUUAUGCUAUGCAUACUUACUCCCAAGUGGGCCGAACCUCUUGUUGAUGCUAUACAUACUUACUCUCAAGUAUGUUGCACCCUUGUUGAUGUUCUGCAUACUUACUCUCGAGUAUGUUGAACCCCUUGUUGAUCUUAUGCAUGCUUACCCUAAGCAUGUAUGCCCCCCCUUUG
Molecule: non-coding RNA, 1146 nt
Organism: Lolium perenne
Lineage: Eukaryota; Viridiplantae; Streptophyta; Magnoliopsida; Poales; Poaceae
Source: RefSeq, a predicted model, not a curated record